GUAACAUUACCAACAGCAAUACAUUUCAUCUGUAUGGAGCAUUCAACACCACGGCCAUAGCUGUCGCAGGUAUUUACCUUUUCAUGAAUAUGUUUCUUAUGAACUCUUUUAAUUUUGUUACACAAAAUUAUGAAGGAAGGAAUUUUUUUGCAUUUAUUUUAGAACUAGCAGUAUCGCUCGGCAUUGCUCAGGUUUGUUUUGACCCUUUAGAAUUGGAAUUUUCGAAAAGUAAAGAUUUUGCAUUAUGUAGCUUGUUAUUCUCUUUAAGUGAACAUUUUUCUGGUUGAAAUACACUGAAAAAUGGCAACACAGUAGUCAAAAAAUCGUUGAAAAUAGGGAUUUUCAUAGAAAAAAAAGCACCUUUUUGAUGUAAAUAAUUUUUGGUCUUAACAAGGUCCGAUUUAAAUUUUUUCUUCUACAGAAUGAAGAGCAAGCCUUCUUCUAUCAUACUUUCAAUUUUGGUCAACUUGUGCUGCAGGGUCUCGGAGGAGAUAGUGUUAGUUGAAGGCUACCAACCUGCCAUACACAGACAACUUCAGCUUUAUAUAUAUAGAUAAAUAUUUUAUUAGGAUAGCAUUUGUAUGAAAACACCAGAGAUAGUCUCAGAGAGGUUGGUAUGAAAAGAGAUAAAUAUUUUGCCAUCUAUGUCGUCAGACAGACAAUUGAAGCCUGGUACAGCUCUCCUGCCUGCUGGCUCCUGUCAAACUGUCCAACCCAUGCCAGCAUAGAAAAACAGACGUUAAAUGCAGACAAUGAUGAUGAUGCUGAUGAUGUAGUCUGAGAUAUGCUUGUGAAAAACAAGCAGAUUAGCAUGGAUGAUAUGCAUGCAUUUUGACUCUAUGUCUCCACAACAGGAGUUCACCUGGGGUUAAACAACAGCAAGCACACACAUGUAGGCAUGCUCAUGUAUAACGAUAGAUAUGUAUGACAUAUGUAUGCACGCAUGCAUGUAUAUGUAUGCGUGUGUGUGUGUGUAAUUAUAUAUUCUUUUAUUCUUUUACUUGUUUCGGUCAUUUGACUGUGGCCAUGCUGGAGCACCACCUUUAGUCAAAGAAAUCGACCCCAGGACUUAUUCUUUGUAAGCCUAGUACUUAUUCUAUCAGUCUCUUUUGCUGAACUGCCAAGUUACGGGGAUGUAAACACACCAGCAUCAGUUGCUAAAUGAUAGCAGGGAGACAAAGACACACACAAACACACACACACACACACACACACACACACGCACACACACACACACACACACACACACACACACACACACACACACACACACACACACACACACACAUACAACAGGCUUCUUUCAGUUUCUGUCUACGAAAUCCACUCACAAGGGUUUGGUCAGCCCAAGGCUAUAGUAGAAGACACUUGCCCAAGGUGCCACACAGUGGGACUGAACCCAGAACCAUGUGGUUGGUAAGCAAGCUACUUACCGCACAGCCACUCCUGCACUUAUAUAGUGCAACUUAAAUUUAAAUUGUAUGACAGGUAACCAGUAUUAAUUUCUCCAUAUCUAUUCCUGUAUACCCAAAAGAAAAACAGCAAAGAGGACUCAUAGACUCAUAGUCCGAGUCUCCUUUGGUUGGAUGCUAUGGUUGGAAACGUCACAGAGUAAAAAUAGAAAGCAAAACAGCAGACUUAGUUCAUAAGAUAUUUAGUUGUGUCAUCUUACAUGCUUUUCAUUAACAAUAAAAAAAAAUACCAGAUAUAUAAGUAAAACCUUAUAAGUAGGGUGCAUUGUCAAAUCUUCAGAGAUUGAAUAACUCAUUAGUAACCUUUAACAUUUAUACUGGACUACUGACAGUGUUAUAAUAUCAACUAUCAAAUCGACUGUGUUAAAUUAUGUGAAAGAAUUAGCUUAUAUACUUACAGGAAGGAUGAAAGUAUGUCUUAUAGAAUAGAAAAACAGUAUUUACGUGGCCAAUGUUUCUAUUAAAAGAAGUGAUCUAUAGCUAAAGCUAUGAGGUUUCAGAGAUCACAGCAAGGUAUCCCUAUGAUCUAUCAUUCUUAUAUGUUGUUUGGCUGCUAAAUGUUGUCCAAUCAUGCUGCACAUGUCGCAAUCUCCACCCACUUCCACAUAGCUAAGCAAAAGAUAACAGCUUGACACCAUCUUCCAUUUUCUCCGAAUGAAGAAAGGAUGAAAUAUAGACGUAUGGUAAAGUGCAAGUCGUUCUAUCUUUGUUACUUCUGUUUUCACUCCAAACUUUUAAUUUGCACUGGAUAGCCUUCUGAACAAUUUUAAUUUUAAUUUUAAGCAUCACACAAUGUUUCACUCAAACUACUACACAACACUUAUGUGUGUGUGUGUGUGUGUAUGUGUGUGUGUGUGUGUGUGUGUGUGUGUGUGUAUAAAUAGGUACACAUUCAUCAUCAUCAUCAUCAUUAUUGGUUAACGUCCGCUUUCCAUGCUAGCAUGGGUUGGAUAGUUUGACCAGGGUCUGGGAAGCCCUUCCUAAUGCCAACCACUCCGUGAGUGUAUUGGGUGCUUUUUACGUGCCACCAGCACAGGUGCCAGGGGAGGCUAGCAAUGGCCACGAUCGGUUGGUGCUUUUUAUGUGCCACCGGCUGGGGCUAUGCGAAACUGGUGCAGGAAGCAGCCAUGAACUCACAUUAUUUGUCGGGUCUUCGCAGUCACAGCAUAUCUCCAAAGGUCUCGGUCUUUUGUCAUUGCCUCUGUGAGGCUCAACGUUCGAAGGUCAUGCUUGACUACCUCAUCCCAUGUCUUCCUGGGUCUACCUCUACCCCAGAUUCCUUCAACUGUUUGGGAGACAUAAAUCAAAUCUUUUCUUUGUUUCUUCAUUCCAGUUUAUUCUUCAAGGUUGUUUUGCCAUCUGUUUUCUUGUUAUGCAAUUCUAUAUUGAUCAAAGGUUAAAACUUAAUUCUUCAAGUUAUUGUUUUUCACUCAAAGAAAAACAUGACACAAUAUGUAGGAAUUUUUGAUGGUUCUGAGAAUUCUUGAAACAAAUAAAAUAACUGAUUAUUUUACUUUUAUUUUUUUACUAAAAGAAAUUUUAAUAUUAAUUUCUUCUUCUACCACUUUAGUAUAAAUCUCAAUUUUCAGUAAGUUUCAAGAAAGUAAUUAAUUAAAUUUUAAGUCACAUGACAGGCUCUUAUAACAACUGAAAAUUCUGUGAAAUAAAUUGAAUUCUCCAAUAACCAUGAUUGAUACAAGAUGUUUUCUGCUUUUCAGAUUUCAACAACAAAGUAGUCUCAGCAUCUUGGUUUUAUUGUUGUUGUUUUGAUUGUUGUAUUGCUCUUUAUUUUUAACAGAAUACGUGAUAUUUACUACAGAACAUUCAACCAGAUUUUUUUUGUUUACUAUAGAAAUGGUUGUCAUUUAACACUUGAAUUUCAACAACAAUUUAAAAUGUUAUCUCCAAAAUCAUUUUUAUUUCAUGUUUGUAACUAGAGGAUUGUAUUGUUAUUUAUUCUUAGCAGAAUACACAAUAUUUAUCAAGGUGCUGACGGCCAAAUUUUAUCAAUGGAAAUUAGUUCUUUUUUUUUUUUUGAUAGUUUAGACAAAGGCUUUUAAAUAUUAUAGAGUGUUAUUUUUUUUCCUUAUAGAAACCAUAUUUCCUUAAAUUACAUCUUUUCAUCUUGAAUAUAUAUUGGGUACCUAAGAAUACCUCAGAUAAAUGUUUUACUAGAUAAAAGACUGUUUAGCCACUGUUGGAAUGGCUUUGAUCAUUGACCUGUUCAGAGCUCACCUGGGGCUACACAGCAAUAACAACUAAUAUUUACUAUGUCGAAUUGUUGCUAUUGUUUAGCCCAAGUCAGCACUGAUGGAGCAGACCUGUGAUCAAAAGUAGUCCAACCCUGGCCAUCUUGUCUCCAUUGCAUUAUCUAAUGUGUCCUUUUCUUAUUCAAGAAGGAAGGAUGUAAUUUAAAAAAAGUUUGGCUGAUAUUUCUAGCACAUUGAGCAAACCCAUAGAGGCUUCAUCACUGGCUUGCCUUGCUUGUAGUUGAGCUCAUGUCAGAUCUGAUCAAAGAUGUUCCAUUCAUGACCAUCCUGUUCUAUUUUCAGUCAUACUGAUAGAUCCUCUGCUGGUUUUAACAAUCUUCAUUCAUUCUUUUACUGGUUUCAGUCAUAUAGACUGUGGCCAUGCUGGGGCACCACCUUGAAGACUUUUAGUCAAGUACAUCAACCUCAGUACCAUUUUUUUUAAAGCCUGGUAAUUACUGUAUUGGUCUCUUUUGCUGAAUCACUAAGUUAUGGGGACGUAAACACACCAACACUGGUUGUCAAGCAACAGUGUGGGACAGAUAUGCACACACGCAUGCACACACACACACAUACACACAAUGGGCUUCUUUCAGUUUCCGUCAAUCAAAUCCACUCAUAAGGCUUUGGUUGACCUAAAGCUAUAGUAGGAGACACUUGCCCAAAGUGCCAUGCAGUGGGACUGAACUCGGAACUAUGUGGUUCAGAAACAAACUUCUUACCACACAGCCACACCUGCCUCUAUUUUGUUCAAUCAACUAAGUAUUUGCCAAAUUAAUGUAUAAGUGGCUGUAUAUUCCACAGACCCUUGCAGCCUCAGCAUAAUUUCCCGGUUGAAUCAGUAUGAUGCAGCCUAACAGAGUUGUACCUUUGAGUUACAUAACCAAUCCAUCUGGCAGGCUUCCAUACAGUUUCCAUCUGUCAAAUUUCAUGCUCAAGUCUUGGGUCAACAUGAGGAUAUGUUCAAUAAAUUUCACCCAAGAUGCUAUGUUGUAGGAUAAGGUGUGGGGCUUCGUGAUUGCAAAGCAGACUCUUUAAUUAAUCGAACAUAAAUACCUGCAUUUAUUUGCAGAAAAUCUAAAGCUUAAAUUCUUUCUUGAAGAUAGUGAUAGGUUAUAGGAGGAAGAUUUGACUGGUCUUUCUAGCAAUUAGAAAAAUCACAUUGGUUUACUGAGCCUGUUGUAGUUGUUGAAUCCUAAGGUCAACCCUUAUCAAGCUGACAUGAUAAAAGGUCUUUUGGCCACGACUAUUUUUACUUUCAGCUACAAGUGUAUCUAGGAUGAUAUCAUGCAAUGUAACCUCCCCUUUUUUUUUUAAGAUUACACUGAAUUUUUAGAGGAGAUUUAGUUGCUAUUUCUAAAAGGUCAAACACCUUUGUAAAGCCUCUCUUAUUAACUCAGCUUCAUUCUAGUUACAGCUUUUGUCAAUAAAAAUUAGUUUAUUUUACAAAAGCAGUCAGUAUUUGCAAAUAAAAAGCAUUUUUGGUAGUAAAAAUCCAGGACAAAGUAGUUUUGGGUAAUGCAGAUCGAUGGAUUUACAGUUUUACUACAGACGAGGAUAUUGCAAACAUUUCAUUUCUUCUGUAAAUAUUCUUUUAAUGCAAAAUAUUUAAAUACUUGUACGAAAUCGCAUAUUCGAAUUCCCAGUUGAAACUUACUCUAUUUAUUCAAGUUCUAUACAAUCUUGAGUCUAAUGAGACUACAACAUUUUGUAGCUUGAGAUGAGAGAUACCGUUUAUUGUUUUAUCUAACAUGACCCCUAGGUACAUAUAUCAUCAUUUAUAUUUUAGAAACACUGCCAGAUCAGACUGGAGCCUGGUGCAGCCUUCUGGCUUCCCAGAUCCCCAGUCGAACCGUCCAACCCAUGCUAGCAUGGAGAACGGACGUUAAACGAUGAUGAAGAUGAUGAUGAUGAUAAUAUUUUUAGGAAACAUACCUCAUAUUGCCACAGAAGUUAAAACACAUAAAACAAAAGUAAAAAAUUAAAACAUUGUUGUAUGGAGAAGAAAAAGGUGUAAUUCACCUACCUUGUGGGUCCUCUCAAAAUAUCGAUCCUUUCCAGCCAGGAUAUAUUCAUGGGAGCCCUACCCACCAAACCUCUGGUCAGAACCAAAUGGCAAAUUCCUCAACUCAAAUGGCACACCACGUCUGUCCCAAAUGACAAAGCAAAAGAGACCCACACUAGUUAUCUUUCUGCUCACAUGACCUCCCUUGCACCUCUUUAUCUGGCAAGACCCCCUCGGUUGUUUGUGAAGCUAACUUCUCAGUCAUGUAGCCAUGGCUGCACUGGAACCUACUAUGGUGACCGAGAGAGUGGCAAAAGUGUUGAACAAGCUUUUGCUGCUUAAAUCCAAUGACAUACAGAUGUCUGACUUGUCAUAUCGUCUCUUGGUCUGUCUUGUAUUUUAUGAAAUCCUCUUGUGAUGGAUGCGUGGCAACAUAUGCAGACUUGACAAGUUAGAAUACCAUGUAAAUCAUUGGUUGUCUUGAAAAGUCAUAUCUACGCACCUGCCAGAAUGAAAGUAAAUCAGAACAAUCAGAUAGAACGGGAGAUGGCUAUCAGCCGACAAAAUGAAGCAAACAUACAUGCAUACACAUAUAUAUAUAUAUAUAUAUAUAUAUAUAUAAUGAUAGUAUCGAUAUUUAAAUAUCGAUCUUAUCAAGUGGCCAGCAUGGGAAUAAAUACCAUACAAAGGUAGUAAUUAUUUAAAACUAUAAAUUAGGGUAUCUGAGAGAUACCACCAUGCUGAAAUAGUAGUCAAAACCCUAGCCACAGCACUAGGAUAUAUAUAUAUAUAUAUAUAUAUAUAUAUAUAUAUAUAGAUAUAUAUAGAGAGAGAGAGAGAGAUAGAUAGAUAGAUAGAUAGAUAGAUAGAUAGAUAGAUAGAUAGAUAGAUAGAUAGACAGACAGACAGACAGACAGACAGACAGAUACAUGGUAUAGGGUGUGAUGGGUAAAUUGUCGCCAUCUUAUAAUUUUAAUUUUGCACAUGCUCAUUGUUUAUUUUUUGAUUUUGUCAAAUGCAUGCAGUAUAGUAGGGUCAGUUGGGCACCGACUGUGAAGAAAACAGCACCAUGAUGCAACUCACUCUGCCAGAAAUUUGGAAACGACAUGCUGUACUGCUUGGCAUUUGUGCCAGAAACUCCAAUACAAAUAUUUCAAACUGUUUGGGAGUGAAUCUGAGGACAGAUGUACCAAGAGUGAUAAAAAUCAAACAUCCAGUGAGCAUCAUGGUGUUUGGAGUGAUCACUAGUGAUGGUGAUGUCAUGCCUCCAUUCAUCUUCUCAACACAGAGGCCUACAUCAAGUGCCUGGAGGAGGUAGUACUGCUCUGGUUGAAAAGGGUGGCUGCUGGAAGAAUCUAUGUCUGGCAACGGGACUCUGCACCAUCCCACACAAGCAGGAAAACCCAGUCACGGCUGUCAGACAAUUUCUAUGACCACAUCAACCCUAACAUCUAACUCCACCUAACUCCCUGACUGCAACCCCCUUGAUUAUUAUGUGUGGGGUGCAGUUGAGCGAGAGACCAGCAAAAUGCCUUGUAACACCAAAGACAAACUGAAGGCAAAGAUUAUGGCAGCAUUCACCAACUUAAACAAGGUGACCGUCCAAAAGAGUUGCAGGAGAUUCCAAAGUUGUCUGGAGGUCACAGUUACAGCCAAUUGCGAUUUCAUUGAAUAAAUUUACUCUUUAGUAUUUCAAGAUUUUUUUAUGUAAUCUUGGUAAAUAUAUUAAAAUGAGAUGUCAGUGUUAUUUUCAUUUUUGCGUAAUUUAGACAACAGUUUAUUAACUGCACCCUGUAUCUCUCUCUCUCUCUCUCUCUCUCUUUCUAUGUAUAUAUAUAUAUUUAUAUAUACAUACAUGUUAGAACAGUGUGCUGUUCAUUUUGCUUUUUUGUUCUUCCAGUGUUCAAUAAAAAAGCACCAAUCAUAUAUUGAUGAGAUACUGAUUUCAAAUUUUAGCACAAGACCAGCAGUUUUGGGGGCGGGGCGGGGGGGAGUGAAUCGACUACGUGGACCCCAGUGUUCAACUGGUACCUAUUUUAUCAACUCCAAAAGGAUGAAAGGCAAAUUUGACCCCCCAGCAGUAUUCAAACUCGGAGUGUAAAGACAGACAAAUGCCACUAAGCAUUUUCCCCGGUGUGCAACCGAUUCUGCCAGCUCACCAUUUUAUGUUGAUGAAAUAGUGAUAAUUAUUUAAAUAAUUUUGUCCUCAUUCCAUCAUCAUCAUCAUUGUCAUUUAAAAUCCGCUUUCCAUGCUGGCAUGGGUUGGAUAGUUUGUCUGAGGACUGGUGAGCAAGAGGCUGCACCAGGCUCAAUCCAAUCUGGCAGAGAUUCUACAGCUGGAUGCCCUUCUUAACGCCAACCACUCCAAGAGUGUAGUGGGUGCUUUUAUGUGCCACCGGCACAAGGGCCGGUCAGGUGGUUCUGGCAACGACCAUGCUCAAAAGGUGUUUUUUACGUGCUACCUGCAUGGAAACCUGUCUGGUGGCACUGGACCUCACUCAAAUGUUGUUUUUCAUGUGCCACUGGCACAUGUGCCGGUAACGCAAUGCUAGCAAUGAUCACACUCGAAUGGUGCUUUUUAUGUGCCACCGGCACGGGAGCCAAUCCGUGGCCCUGGCAAUGAUCAUGCUUGGAUGUGCUUUUAACGUUCCACUGGCACAGGUGCCAAUCAGGUGGUUCUGUCAUCGGCCACGUCAGCGAUUUUGAGUUGACUUGAUUUGAUUUCCAAUUUAUUAACUAACUGCCACCUGUUGGUUAUGAUGAUGGGGGGUUCCAUUUGAUCCGAUCGAUGGAACAGCUUGCUCGUGGAAUUAAUAUGCAAAGGGAUGAGCACUCCACAGACACGUGUACCCUUAAUGUGGUUCUCAUGGAAACUCAGUGGGACUUAGGAUGUGACAAGCCUUUGAAAUACAUAUGCUAUAUAUUUUGGCCAGCUGGGUGGACUGUAACAAUGCAAAAUAAAGUCUCUUGCUUAAGGACACAAUAUGCCACUGGGAAUUGAACUCACAACCUUACAGCCAUGAACAGAAUCCCCUAACCACUAAGCCACGAACCUUCACAAUUCCUGUCCAAUGCAUUAAUAUUAAAUUUCAUUUAUUUUUUCAACCAUUUAAUUUUUUUUUUUUAUGUUUAUAAUAUUACAAUCAGAUAAAUAAUAAUUGUCUGAGAAUGACAUUAGAAAAAUAAUUGUAUGUUCAUUUUUUAAUUAUUUUUCUGUAAUUUUCUUCAGGACAACUCUAUAAGACAAACCAAAAUAAUAAGAUCUUGAAGAUUACCCUGUUGAAGUACGAUUAUGCAAACUGCACUAAUUAUACCCCAACAAAAAUUUCUUUCCAUGAACUGAAACCAAGCCAGAACAUUUCUAAUAGCUCAGCCACCCAGUCAUAUUAUAACUGGUAUAAUUACCUAG
This 9135-nucleotide long non-coding RNA is filed under the name Octopus vulgaris (common octopus). Lineage: Eukaryota; Metazoa; Mollusca; Cephalopoda; Octopoda; Octopodidae. The record is from RNAcentral.